Molecule: long non-coding RNA, 759 nt
Organism: Morus notabilis
Lineage: Eukaryota; Viridiplantae; Streptophyta; Magnoliopsida; Rosales; Moraceae
Exons: 2
Source: RefSeq, a predicted model, not a curated record
AGUAACGACCAAACCAAACAAACAUUUUCAGUUCAAGAACUCUUUUGCAUCUCAACGACCUUCUUCCACGAAUCUCUGCUCGAAAUCUCAUCCCACCAUCUUCCCACAUUCUGCUUGGAAGUAAAUAUCUCUGCCCUAUUAGCCGCCGUCACCAAGUACUGGGUAUUGGGCAAGUGGGACAGAUCCGCCAGCGAGAAUUCGUCGCCGGAAUUCGUGCACAGGAAGGAAAAUGAAUAAAGCGAAAUUGAUAAUAUAAACCCUGAUUUUGCAGGGCUUAUCGGCCUCAGAGAGUUUCCACAAUAAAUCUCUCUUUUGAUUUCCGAAAAUGGCGAAUCAGCAGCUCUCUCCGGCGCGGCCAUGGAUACUCGAAGCGGUUCCUCUGAUGGUGGUCAUCCUUAUAGCUGCUCAUGUCUUCGCUUUGGUGUAUUGGAUAUACAGAUUGGCCACCGAGAAACAGCCACAGAGAAGAAAAGCGCACUGAUGAACCCUAGGACUUGCAGGAACGAAACGGGGAGGUUGGUGGAAACCCUAAUUUGUUGACCUGUUUAGACAUUAUAUUGGAGCGCAUUAGAAAUUUACAGGAAUUAAGGACAUUAAACGGAUUCAUUUAGAGUGCUGGCUAUGUGUCUUCUAUUUUUUGUUCUCUUUUUGGGUUUUAUUCUCAUGACAUUCUGUAUAUUAAUGUGUGUGACUGAUUCGCUUGUUUUGAUUCUCCGAUAGUAUAAAGAGAAGGAAAAGGAGCGGGACCUUUUUUUUUUU